CUGGUUCACAGGUGUUGCAUGCUUGUUGUCAGCUCGUGUCGUGAGAUGUUGGUUUAAGUCCCGCAACGAGCGCAACCCUUGUCCUAUGUUGCCAGCACGUAAUGGUGGGGACUCAUGGGAGACUGCCGGGGUCAACUCGGAGGAAGGUGGGGAUGACGUCAAAUCAUCAUGCCCCUUAUGUCUUGGGCUUCACGCAUGCUACAAUGGCCGGUACAGUGGGUUGCGAUACUGUGAGGUGGAGCUAAUCCCUAAAAGCCGGUCUCAGUUCGGAUCGAAGUCUGCAACUCGACUUCGUGAAGUUGGAGUCGCUAGUAAUCGCAGAUCAGCAACGCUGCGGUGAUACGUUCCCGGGCAUUGUACACACCGCCCGUNA
Molecule: ribosomal RNA, 373 nt
Filed under: uncultured bacterium
Lineage: Bacteria
Description: bacterial SSU rRNA
Rfam family: Bacterial small subunit ribosomal RNA
Source: RNAcentral